This is a non-coding RNA of Acanthosepion pharaonis, 106 nucleotides long. The record is from the annotation of a GenBank genome assembly. NCBI's taxonomy places the organism in Eukaryota, Metazoa, Mollusca, Cephalopoda, Sepiida, Sepiidae.
ACAGCCACAUCAUAAUGAAAUACCAGUUCCUGUAUUAUCACCAAAGUUAAGCAACGUUGAGCCAGAUCUAGAUGGGUGACCACUUGGGAAGACCAGGUGCUGUAAG